UUUAAAAAAUUAUGGAAGAGGGAACAAGAUGGCCGAAUAGACACAACUCCGGUGAAGAACACCCAGCAAGAGAGACGCAGAAAUCGAGAGAUCUCCUAGCUUCAACCAAAGUAUCAGGUGCAUUUCAAUGGAUCUGGUCAGAUGGUGAGCAAUGCCCAGGCAGAGCAGACCAAGACAGGGAGGGGUGCUGCUUCACCCAGAAAGUGCAUCUGACCGUGAGUUGGAGGCUUCUCCUCUGGCACCCCGGUCCA
Molecule: long non-coding RNA, 251 nt
Organism: Sapajus apella (tufted capuchin)
Lineage: Eukaryota; Metazoa; Chordata; Mammalia; Primates; Cebidae
Exons: 3
Source: RefSeq, a predicted model, not a curated record